RNAcentral lists this long non-coding RNA (3440 nucleotides) under Danio rerio (zebrafish). RNAcentral's name for it is "si:ch211-186j3.5 (ENSDARG00000102528.2)". Lineage: Eukaryota; Metazoa; Chordata; Actinopteri; Cypriniformes; Danionidae. The record is from RNAcentral.
CACCGGCUGCAGCUGAACUUCAUGUCGAACGCACCUCUUAAUUCUUUAAUCGCUCUCGCGGUACUUUGAAAUCACGCACCGAUUGCCAAGAGCACGUGGCUAUCCUUGUCGCGUGCCUCUCCGCGUGAAGUUGACAAGGCGUGGAUGAUGCUUUUUUUAUCAUGGCGGUGCACGUUAAAUAUGGAAACGUCGAACAGGACAAAUGCAGUGGGAGCCUGGCAAUAAGGUCAUCAGGGUUUCCUGCAAAAACGAUCUGAGGAACCACAUAUACUUGACUGUCACUUCCGAGGAAGUGGCAAGUGUGAUUGACGUUGGACACCCCGAUCACUUCAACGACCGUUUCUUGCAUCUGGCCUUCUGCGAUCUAGUUGUGUAGUUUGAAGAAUGGAACUUUCCAGUUCCUGUUUCCUGGACGCAGGGACGUAGGUGGGUGAUGAGGACCUCAUCACCAACAAAAAGCUCAGUCAAAGCUGCCUCCCUCCACAGUGAAACACUGAAGGUCCCCUCCAGGCAUUUUAUUUUUAGGUCCACUAUUGGCACUCUUGCCCUUGUCAUCCUCACCCCAUGGAACUGCAAAAGAGCAAUUUACGGGCUGAUGUGUCCUCCCCUGGAAAAAAUGUCUGGUUCACCACCAGUCAUCUCUGGUGAAGGAGGACAGAGUGCCUCCUUGGCAGAUGUCUGUGCAGCUUCAGAGAAGUUGUGUGGCGUUGUUUUAAAUUUUAAACUGCCUGGUCCCACAAACAGGUACAUCUGCCCGAACUUGUUGGAGAGGGUAUGCUUCUGGAGGAUGUAACUCACCCCUUCCUCGAAUUCUGGGGUUGAUCCCUCUUUUUUAUUAAGGUAACAGAUCACCCCAUCAGUAAGAGCGGAAAUGGUCUCCGUCUUUGUUUUUGAAAUUUCUAUUUUCAUUCCAAUAGUGGAGUAACUCAGUGCUCUUCUGUGAAUGCGUGUUGCAACACACAAACAUUUCAAAAGGCCUGUGGUUGGUGGUGAAGUUUCCAUGCUGCAGAAGAGAGAAAGACAAAGGAUGCAGUUAGAACGAAACCUUUCGGAUUUUGAAUAUUUGGUUUUGAAGAAGUCCAUUAAUCACUUCGCAUGCACCAUGCAUGGACAGACUUGGAGGGAAAAAUGUGGAGGCCACUAAUGUGGAAUGUAUACAGCCUAGUUUUUUUUUUUUUCUUCAAAAUGGUGUUAAAUCUUUUUGUAGUUAAGUGUAUAGUUUGUAUGUGAUAUGUAAAUAGUUUUUAUAGCGAUAUUAAGUUUAUUUUAUAAAGUUUAAUCGUACAUACUGUUUAAAGGUUUGUAUGUGCAAUGUAUAUAGUUUUUUAUAAUGGUAUUAAAUCUCUUUGUAGUUCAUUAAUGUAUGUAGUUUGUAUGUGAUAUGUAAAUAGUUAUUAUAGCUAUGUUUAUUUGUAGUUCAUACUAAUGUUUAUAGGUUUGUAUGUGCAAUGUAUAUAGUUUUUUUAUAAUGGUAUUAAAUCUCUUUGUAUUUCAGUCUAAUGGAUGUAGUUUGUAUGUGACAUGUACAUAGUUUUUUAUAACGAUAUUAAGUUUAUUUUAAAACGUUUAUUUGUAGUUUAUGCUAAUGUUUAUAGUUUGUAUGUGCAAUGUGUAUAUCGUUUUUGUAACCUUAUUUUAAAACGUUUAUUUCUAGUUCUAAAGAAGUGUUUUUUUUUUAAACAUUCUAGCCGUUUUAUGUGUGAAAAUUGUGAUAUUGUAUAUUCGUUGCUUAGUGUGUUGUUUUACUAUUCAAAAACUUUAACUAGCUUAUUUCGUCAAUAUUGCCACAUUGUCCAGUUUAUUUAUUAUUUUUUUUAUUAAACCGCUAAAUGUAUACGUUUGCAGUUUGUUUUUAUUCUGAUAUGUGCAAUUAGCCUACUAAACACUUCCAUUAGUAUUUUCAACGAUUAUGGUCCUAAUAUAAAAUGUAUAGGCCUAAUUAGGUUCAUGGUUAGGGUUGGUAAUACAGAUGUAUUGUAGUAGGCUAUAUUGGCAUCAAGAUUAAAUUGGGUAGCCUUGCCUGUAGCCGUUUGGUGCUAUUUGCCGCAUGCACUCUUAUAAACAAUGCACUUUUUGUCAACGCUAUUAGCCUAGUAAAAUAACUUAAAUAUAAUUCAGAAUAUUGCUCUUUGAUUUAUUAACCAUUUAAACAUUUGUUAAUUUUUGUUACUCAUAGUCUUCUAAAUAGAAAAACUAUCUUAAAAUGACACUUUUUUAUCUAAAAAAAAAUAAUACAACAAAAUGUUUAUAUAAAUAAAUUCGUUGACCAAAAUAUGCAAUUUUAUUAUUAAAUUAAUUCAUUUGCUUUGCUCAAACGCGCAUCACACAGGCACAACAGAUUUAUUAAACGGAUAUAUUAAAAUAAUAUAAUGCCCAAACAUUUUAAGGAAUAGCUAAAAGAUGCAUAAAAAUUCAUGCUAAAUGUGUAUUAAAUUUAUGGUGUAGGCCUAUGUUGAUAUAUUUUUUAAAAGAUUGGAAAAAAUCCAACAAUCUGAUGUGUCCAUUGUAAGUAGCAUAUUAUUAAAUUAUACAGAUUACUUGAGUAUUAUUGUUUUUAUUUAUUCGAUAGGCUUUAGUAUGUGAAUAUGAAUAACGAAUAGCCAAUGAUGUCCUUGGACUGUUGUUGAUUCGCCAUUCUGGAUUCAGCUGUGCUGGCGAUCCGUGCGUUAGGUGAGUACUCUAGAAUUCUAAGGUAACAGUUAAUAAUUCAAACAUUAUGAAAUUUCCCAUGAGUUAAUUAAAGAGGUGCCACUAAACAUAUUUGUCAUUUUGAAUGAAUUUAGUUUCCACUGAAACGGGGUAACAAUCUUCCUGGUAUAACAUAAUAAUAUCGUUUUCGUGAAGGUGCCGAGUUGUGUAAGGAAUGCUAACGUUGACUGCUUCGGUCUUCUGCUUUGAUUAACGUUUGUUCUUUAACGUUAAUUAAAAUAAAUCACGGACACACCCGUGUUUAUAUUCUGUACAACAAUGGAAGAAAAAUACCAAUAUGAAAAGUGAGUCUCAGGUCAGUGCAGUACCCUUUUUAGGCGAACUCGGGCUAAUUCGAGCUAAUUUCAGAGAGAGUACGUUAACGGAAUGUGAGGGUUGUAAAUCUACAAACAUCACAACUGUAAGUUAAUGUCGCUCGGGGUGUUCAAAAUCCCAGAAACACCCUGUUCUGAUGUAUCAGCAUAUAGUAUCGGACAAAGUGAACCUCUGACGCUUAUCGUUGUUUUGGCACUUCAUUAUUGUAGCCGCCAAUUUAGGCAAAUACGGUUAGAAAAACUCAAAAGUGGAAUAAAUCAACUUUAUGGCUAUGACCUUUAUUUAUCUGUUGGUCAUAAUCAAAGAAUCAAUAACAAUGAUAUUAUUUAUAUGAUAAUGCAUAUGUAGUGUUUUUUUCUGGGUCUAAUAGGAUAUAUGCAGAAGUAUGUUAAAGGACCUUUAAUUUGACAGUAACG